This 257-nucleotide ribosomal RNA is filed under the name uncultured bacterium. RNAcentral describes it as "partial 16S ribosomal RNA". It matches the Rfam family "Bacterial small subunit ribosomal RNA", at positions 524 to 777 of the family's 1533-position model. The record is from RNAcentral.
UACGGAAGGGGGCUAGCGUUGCUCGGAAUUGACUGGGCGUAAAGCGCACGUAGGCGGCUUCUUAAGUCGGUGGUGAAAUCCUGGAGCCUACACUCCAGACUGCCUUCGAUACUGGGAGCUCGGAGUCCGGGAGAGGUGAGUGGGAACUGCGAGUGUAGAGGUGAAAUUCGUAGAUAUUCGCAAGAACACCAGUGGCGAAGGCGGCUCACUGGCCCGGUACUGACGCUGAGGUGCGAAAGCGUGGGGAGCGAACGAGG